GCCUGUCCCCACCUUUUUUAGGUCCUCGCUCUCUCUGCCCCGUAGCCCGUGGCUAUUGUUUCCUUCUCUCUCUCCCUGUCUCUCUGUCCGGCCCCCAGCCACUGUUUCUGCAUUCCUCCCCCUCGGUCCUGUAGCCCGUCGGUAUUUCUGCCAUCUCUGGCUCUCUCUGUGCGGCUCCUCGUUCCUGUUGUUCGAGGUCUUCCUUCUCGGCUCCGUAGCGAGUCGUCGUGAGUCUCUCUCUUUCUCCGUCCCUCUUGAGCCUCUUCCCUGCCCCUCGUUUUGAAGGCCCGCCUCUCUGUCCCGGCACCCGUCGCUACGGUUCCUUUUUUCGGUCUGGCUCCGUCUCGCUCCCCGUCCCUGUUUUUCUAAAGUCUCCCCUCUCUGCCUCCUAGCCCGUCGGUACCUUUUUCUUUCCCCGUCGCGGUUCGUCUGGCUCCCUGUCCCUCUUUCUUUCUUCCUUCCUUCCUCCCUGUCUGCCCCGCAGCCCGUCCCUUCGUUCCUUUCUCCUUCCCUCUCUGUCCCUCUCCCGGUCCCCGGCUUUAAACUCUGCUUCUCUGCCCGGUAGCUCGCCACCGUCUUACCUUUCCCCGUCUCUCUCUCUCUCUGUCCAGCUCCCUCUCUCGAAUCUUCAAUUCCUCCCUGUCGCUGCAGAAGCCUGUCGGGACUUUUUCCCCUGCCCGGCUUGCCUCUCCCUGUCUCGCGAUUCCUCCCUCUCUGCCCUCUUAGCCGCGACCGUUUUUAUAUUCUCCGUCUCUCCCUCGGUCCGCCUCGAGAUCCCGAUUGUUUUUUAAAGCGACCGAAUCGUCGAGGUUGGCAGAGACCUUUACGAUUAUCGGGUGGAACCGCGAACCUGGCGCCGGCAAGUCCCCCUCUGCCCCGCAGCCUGUCCCUUCCCUUCCGACGGCCUCUUUCUCCACCUCCCUCUGUCCGGCUCCCGGCCCCUCUUUUCCACUUCCGCCCUCUGUACCCUGUGGCUUUCCCCCUCUUCUUUCUCUCUCUGUCUCUGUUUGAGGAGGAGCAGCUGCCGCCCCAGCGUUCGCACCCCGUUCACGGUGUCGCGCGCACGCUUCUUCUCGGGCGCGCUUCCUCCUCCUCCUUCGGGCUCGACCCGAGGCUUCCGGCAGCAGUCUCCGGGUGUCGGAUUUUGUAAAAUAAUUAACGUAACUGAAAGGUGCAGCAGCGGGAUCGGCCCGGGUGGGGCGCCUCCAAAGAGAGGGACCCCGAACAAAGAAAUCCCGGGGCCGUUCCACGCUUGGGUCCCGGACACCCGCCCCUCGCGCGCUGUCCGCGCGUCCCUUAGUCCCGCGGUGACUUUUGGUCUGGGGUCUUCUACCGUCGUCUCGGAUUCUUCUUCUGUAUAGCUGUGGGCGGUGCGUUAUUCCACAGGUGCCGCCGCGCCGAUGCUCCGUACGUUCGCAGUAACGGGUAGAGCGGAAGGCUCCGUGGCCAGGGAAGAGCGGCACGGACACGUUCCUGCUCGCUCCGUUGCACCGGAAUUUCGACGGCUGGGUUCGGCCGCUAAAUUGAUGGCGCUACCGGAAGAAAUUUCAGAAAAAUAUGAGAAAAGCUCUGUCCAGAGAUAUGGAGACGAAAUCAGUUGUACCUCACCCCGUGACACCGGAAGACAUUGAGUAACUCGUCCUGCAGCUGGCUCCUCGGUUUUGGCGGCAGCCUGCACAUAGCAGCCCAGCUCUCCAGCAGCCUGACGGACCGACCGUGUGUCUGUUCCACGCCGGACUGGCGAGCGUGGCUCUGGGUAGGACAGCCGAGGUGCCCCAGGGCCGGGCCCCGGUGCGGAGUCUCUCCCGGGACCGGCUCUGUGUGUGACUGAAUAAACGCUUGUGGUCUCUUUUGCUGUG
Grus americana (Whooping crane) is the source of this 1859-nucleotide long non-coding RNA. RefSeq lists it as uncharacterized. NCBI's taxonomy places the organism in Eukaryota, Metazoa, Chordata, Aves, Gruiformes, Gruidae. The transcript is spliced from 3 exons. The record is from RefSeq and is a predicted model, not a curated record.